RNAcentral lists this ribosomal RNA (255 nucleotides) under uncultured bacterium. RNAcentral describes it as "partial 16S ribosomal RNA". It matches the Rfam family "Bacterial small subunit ribosomal RNA", at positions 524 to 776 of the family's 1533-position model. The record is from RNAcentral.
UACGUAGGGCGCAAGCGUUGUCCGGAAUUAUUGGGCGUAAAGAGCUCGUAGGCGGUUUGUCGCGUCUGCUGUGAAAACCUAAGGCUCAACCUUGGGCUUGCAGUGGGUACGGGCAGACUAGAGUGCGGUAGGGGUGACUGGAAUUCCUGGUGUAGCGGUGGAAUGCGCAGAUAUCAGGAGGAACACCGGUGGCGAAGGCGGGUCUCUGGGCCGUAACUGACGCUGGAGGAAGCGAAAGCCGUGGGAGCGAACAGG